UUCAGCGAGGGAACAUAAGGGAAGUACACAUUUGUAUAUAUUGAUGAAACCAAAAUUGGGAGAUGGCCUAGAUGAUAGGUCUGAAGUCAGUCAAUUGAGUAGAGGUGAUGUGGCAGCUGCAACCACGGAGUCUCAAGACGCUUGGCAUUGUGUUCUCUAUUCUAUGAUGGAAGCUACCCCUACCUCUAACCUCAACAGCCAAUGAACCUGGAGGCCUGCAGUAUUUCAAAGUGGGCUGGGAUUGUUGACUCCUCUAAACCAGACCAAACCUUGGAUUUCGUCCCACAGAAAAACAAGAUCAAGAGUAUCUGCCUGCUUUACGGUCCAUUAUUACUUUUGGUACGCGCUAGGCCAGUCUCAAACUCGUACCGUGAGUAAUAAUGCACUGUGGCUGUCACUGCCAACGAGGGACAGACCACACCACCAUAUCUUACUUUCACUGUUCUCCAUAUUCCUAUGCAUCUCGUUGUUGUAAAGCAAGAAAUGUGAUAUAUUCAUGAAAACUGUGUUUGAAACUCUAAGGCCUUGUGUGGGGAAAGACAGCAUUUUAAUAUAAUCCUUUGUCUACUUUCAUAAACAGACUAUUCAUUUUACUUAAAUAUUAUUGUUGAGUUGUUUACAUGAAAUAUGUAGAAUUUUCUGUACCUUGUGAUUGUAAGCUAUAUGCAAAUGAAUAAUAAUAAAAAUACUUGAAUUUA
Molecule: long non-coding RNA, 698 nt
Organism: Oncorhynchus masou masou (cherry salmon)
Lineage: Eukaryota; Metazoa; Chordata; Actinopteri; Salmoniformes; Salmonidae
Exons: 2
Source: RefSeq, a predicted model, not a curated record